CUUUCGAUAGCUUAACUGGUUAGAGCGCACGCAGAUCUCGUUAGAUGGUGGUUCGAGUCCACCUCGAAAGG
Molecule: transfer RNA, 71 nt
Filed under: Caudoviricetes sp.
Lineage: Duplodnaviria; Heunggongvirae; Uroviricota; Caudoviricetes
Description: tRNA-OTHER
Rfam family: tRNA
About the family: Transfer RNA (tRNA) molecules are approximately 80 nucleotides in length. Their secondary structure includes four short double-helical elements and three loops (D, anti-codon, and T loops).
Source: RNAcentral